CGGGGCGUAGCGCAGUUUGGUAGCGCGCCUGGUUCGGGACUAGGAGGCCGCAGGUUCGAAUCCUGUCGCCCCGACCA
This 77-nucleotide transfer RNA is filed under the name Acidaminococcus sp. AM05-11. RNAcentral's name for it is "tRNA-Pro". It matches the Rfam family "tRNA". Rfam says of the family: Transfer RNA (tRNA) molecules are approximately 80 nucleotides in length. RNAcentral also lists the same sequence under 1 other name. The record is from RNAcentral. Lineage: Bacteria; Bacillati; Bacillota; Negativicutes; Acidaminococcales; Acidaminococcaceae.